RNAcentral lists this ribosomal RNA (253 nucleotides) under uncultured bacterium. RNAcentral describes it as "partial 16S ribosomal RNA". It matches the Rfam family "Bacterial small subunit ribosomal RNA", at positions 524 to 776 of the family's 1533-position model. The record is from RNAcentral.
UACGUAGGGCGCAAGCGUUGUCCGGAAUUAUUGGGCGUAAAGCGCGUGUAGGCGGCUUGGCAAGUCGGGUGUGAAAGCCCUCAGCUCAACUGAGGAAGUGCGCCCGAAACUGCUGAGCUCGAGUACCGGAGAGGGUGGCGGAAUUCCCCAAGUAGAGGUGAAAUUCGUAGAGAUGGGGAGGAACACCGGUGGCGAAGGCGGCCACCUGGACGGUCACUGACGCUGAGACGCGAAAGCGUGGGUAGCAAACAGG